CGAUUCGACAGACGCUCUCUCUCCCGCACGAGAACGAGAGACGCCUGGCGCUAGGGUUCCCUUCGCCGCCACGCCCCAUCCCUCAGCACCCGGCAACCCUCGCUACUCUCUCCCAUCCCCUUGCAGUCGCCGUCGUAGUCCCCCGCCGUUGGUCAGGGCAGAGACAGCUUCUUUCGCGCGGCGAGGUGGAGCAAGGUCAACGCGGCGGCUCGAGCGGCUGGGGGUGGCACGGCUGAUCGAUGUAGAGCGGCGGGGGCGGCUGGAUCGACGGUGGCGGCUAGAUCUUGCAGAACGGCACCGCUGGAGGUCAACGCGGUGGCUUGAGCGGCUGGCGGCGGCGCGGCUGCUCGAGGUGGAUCAGCGGUGGCGGCUGGAGCUUUUAGAACGGCGGCGGCGGAGGCUGGAGCUUGUAGAUCGGCGGGCCAACCUGAGCAACAGCUCCAAGGAGGACGCCACCAGGUGCCUGGUCUGGCUGGGGGACCUCAUCGACGCCAAGAAGUUGGGAGGCAGUGCUGCUGGCAGCGACACGCUGCACCUCCCUGUCGCCGGCGUGGCUACUGCAGGUCCAAAGACACAGUGUACUAUGCUCAUGCAUAUGUGACAUAAACCAAUUCUGCAUUAUGCUGCUCAGUGCUCGCAAAUACUGCAAAAUUACUAGGCCUAGGAGAUUUGAGCAUUUGUGAAGGUUUUGGGACACGAAGCCCCAUUGAAGGUUUUGAAUUUUCAAAGCUUCAAAGAUGUUGCAGCUGUGACAAACAAUUUUCACCCAUCACAUAUGAUCGGACAAGGUGGUUUUGGCAACGUCCAAUGUCGCCGCCGUGGAGUUCACUGGAAGAAGAACAUCGGUCGAGCAUUCCAAUGUCACCUCCGCCAAGUUCGCCACCGAGCCAUCCAAUGUCGCCUCUGCUGAGUUCGCCGGAGGAAGAACAUCCGCCGUCCGAACGAUGCUACACCAGAGGUAUGUAUCAGUUUUCCCAAAUUAGUCCAACGUUGUGGUAUGUAUCAGCUUUUCCCAAAUUAGUCCAACGCUGUGGUAUGUAUCAGCUUUUCCCAAAUUAGUCCAACGUUGUGGUAUGUAUCAGCUUUUCCCAAAUUAGGCCAACGUUGUUGGAUAUUGCUUCAAUGAAAAACAAUCUGUGAAACCUGGGCGUGUACUAAUGUUUCCUGUAGUUUUUUCUCUUUAACCUGAGCAUCCAAUCUAUGUAUGCCGGGUGUUGCCUGUACAUUAUAUUACUCCAUUGUUUGCCAGUCCCUGUUUGAUUCCCUGUUUGCUCUCUGUUUGAUUGAAAUCCAUGACCAAAUAAGUUCAUGAACAGUUUUCUGCUUGCUCCCUGUUUGAUUCAAGUCUUAAAGAUUCAUAUUUAGUUAGAUAGGUUCAGUGAUUCAGAAUAAUAUUUGAGAAGCUUCUCUGUUGGCUGGCAUCCCUGAUGGCAGUUGUAGAAAUGUAGCUAAGGAAAGAGUGCCUCAUAAUUCAUUGGAUGUAGAUCAAUAGGGUGUAAAAGACUUUGAGUUUCUAGCUUUCAUAAAAUUUACACAUGUACUCCCUCCGUCCCAUAAUGUAAGACCAUUUUGCAAGCUUAACAGUAUGUUGUGGUUGGUCCUUAAACUUGAACAAUAAGUGUGUCAAUUGAGGUUCAUGCCAUAUUUAAUUAGCAACUAAUUAUCCUGUGGCGCUUCGGCACUAAUGUAUCCACAGUCUGACCAUUGGAUUGAAUAUUCAUCAGAAGAUUGUAGCCUUACCUGACUCCAUGCCCUUUUCAAGUGGAGUUGCAGAAAUGCAGAGUAUGAAUGGGGAAACGAUCAUAGAUGUCAACACCUACAGUAUGAUUUAUCUUGAUAGAGAUGCACUGGAUUCUCAAGUAGUUUUAAUGUUUUUUUCUAGAUAGCUCAAGUAAUUAAGCUUCUGCAAUUCAUGAAAAACAAAAAGAAGGUGUCAUGUCAGGUGCUGAAGCUAAUCAAGUAACAAAAAUAAAAGGGACCAGUAGUCAGGUUCCAUUAACCAAAUGUUUCACAUCUAUUAACCUGUAUCUUGAUUGAGAUGCACUGGGUUCACAAGUAGUUGUAGUGUUUUUUCUAGAUAGCUAACAAAAGGAAGGUGUUCUAUCAGCUGAUCAAGCUAAUUAAGUAAAAAGAAUUAAAGGGACCAGUAGUCAGGUUCCAUUAACCAAAUGUGUCACAUCUAUUAACCUGUACUCAUAGUAGCCCACGUUGUUCAAUAUUGCUUGGAGAUUUGCCCUUUUUUACAAAUCAAAAUCAGUCUUUGUAACCUGGGCGUUCACUAAAGUUGUAUGCAUUUUUUCUGUUUAAUCUGGGUGUCCAAUCUCUGUAAGUUGGGCGUUGCUUGUAUUUUAUAUUAGGCGUUACCUAUACUUUAUAUUAGUCCAACGUUUGAGUCUGUGUUUAAUUCUCUGUUUGCUCCCUAUGGACAAAUAAGUUAUUUUUCUCCCAGUUUGAUUCAAGUCUGAAAUAUGCAUAGAUGCUACACUUAAGUCAGUAAACGAACAAAAAACUAGGAAUGAUCUUUUAGUUAGUUUUGUGUCACCGAGUAAAUCUGUGCUCGAGAUUACAAUUACUUUGAACAGAGAAAUUAAGAAAAAUAUCUGGAAUCAUCAUCACCCCUUAACCGAUCCGGCGGCAGGAUGUAAAAAUCCAAUCUACUUGGUGGAGACAUACUGGCAUGUGAUGCCGUCCAACUAAUAGUUGUUAUAUGCCUUCCAUUGUGUUUGAAUUUUUUUCUCUUGCAUUGCCUGGACUACCUGAUAGAUGCUCCUUCAGCUAAUAUUAUUACGACUGGAGCGGCAGGCAUGUCCAUAUUCGGUGCUGCCAGCGGCAAGCAAUACAGGAAGGAUUUUAUUAAUAUGGCAUUAAGCACACUUUACAAAUAGCAGCUCAUUACAGCAAGUCUAGCCUGAUGGUGUGCCUUCAAAUUCAGACUCCUGUGCACUUUGAGUAUUCUGCAUGGAUGAAAUGAAGGCGUGGUCUGGAUAGCAGCUAAGAUUGGCCGGAUAGCCCACGGACCUGCUUUAGUAACAUCAGGUUCUACAACAGCUGAGGCAAGCACGACAGAGUCUGUCAAAAACUUCGGAUCCUACACAUGUAGUUGAGCUGCAAUCUUCACCGCCAACAGCAGUCCAUAAGCUUCUACCUGCAGAGCUGAUGCUACAGGUGGCGACACAGCAGAGAUGUAUACAUGUUCGGUAUGUUGCCCGUUAAUUUAUAAGAAAACACCUAUGUCCGCCUUUGCUACAGCUUGUCCUGGCUCCAACGACCAAGCUGCAUCUGAGUAUAUUUGUGUACCUAAAAAAUCUAUUGUAGACUGAGAAGUAACAACACUAGAGAGCUUUAGCUGUUCUGGCUGACUGUGAUCUCCCUUCCGAGUUGAAUCGGGAACCUGUAACUCCUUAAUCAGUAAAAUGUACAAUGUACAAUGCACAAUAUCAAACUGUUCUUAUCUUUCUCAUCUCCUCCCAAUUCCACAAUCAUUUUUUGUUAUUAAUUUCACCACAACAGAAUUAUUGUAAUAGUGUGCAUCUUCAUGAUUUUAUAUAUUUUCCUGUGUGGUUACUCUGUUUAACAAAGUAA
Molecule: long non-coding RNA, 3582 nt
Organism: Aegilops tauschii subsp. strangulata
Lineage: Eukaryota; Viridiplantae; Streptophyta; Magnoliopsida; Poales; Poaceae
Source: RefSeq, a predicted model, not a curated record